AACGAACGCUGGCGGCAUGCCUAACACAUGCAAGUCGAACGAGACCUUCGGGUCUAGUGGCGCACGGGUGCGUAACGCGUGGGAACCUGCCCUUAGGUUCGGAAUAACUCCCCGAAAGGGGUGCUAAUACCGGAUAAUGUCUUCGGACCAAAGAUUUAUCGCCUUUGGAUGGGGCCGCGUUGGAUUAGCUAGUUGGUAGGGUAAAAGCCUACCAAGGCGACGAUCCAUAGCUGGUCUGAGAGGAUGAUCAGCCACACUGGGACUGAGACACGGCCCAGACGCCUACGGGAGGCAGCAGUGGGGAAUAUUGGACAAUGGGCGAAAGCCUGAUCCAGCAAUGCCGCGUGAGUGAUGAAGGCCUUAGGGUUGUAAAGCUCUUUUACCCGGGAUGAUAAUGACAGUACCGGGAGAAUAAGCUCCGGCUAACUCCGUG
RNAcentral lists this ribosomal RNA (433 nucleotides) under uncultured bacterium. RNAcentral's name for it is "partial 16S ribosomal RNA". It matches the Rfam family "Bacterial small subunit ribosomal RNA", at positions 29 to 507 of the family's 1533-position model. The record is from RNAcentral.